CGCAUCUUGCGCUUCUUGGUAUUCCAAGGAGCAUGUCUGUUUGAGUGUCAUAAAUUUCUCAAUCAUAUUUAGCUUUGUUAGCUGGAUUUGACUUGGAUUGUGGUUGUUGCAGGUUUUGAUUCAAAGUCUGCUCUUCUGAAAAGCAUCAGCAUAAGUUUCUAAUCAACCUUAUCAUUGGCAUGAUAAUAAUAUUAUGUUGCCAUUGGUUUGAUGAGAAUUAUGCUCAAUGAAAGUCUGAUUUUGCAGACAGUCUUCUGACUCAUACAAAUUUGACCUCAAAUCAGAUAGGACUACCCGCUGAACUUAA
RNAcentral lists this unclassified non-coding RNA (307 nucleotides) under Inocybe sp. Its description in RNAcentral is "partial contains 5.8S ribosomal RNA, internal transcribed spacer 2, and large subunit ribosomal RNA". Lineage: Eukaryota; Fungi; Basidiomycota; Agaricomycetes; Agaricales; Inocybaceae. The record is from RNAcentral.